AAAGUUUAAUACAUUAAGUAUUCCAAAAGCUAUUACAUCAAAUGAGUGGCUUUGUGGGCAUACUUCCAACAAUGGUGAGAUCACAACUGCCUAGCUUCUUCAAUGUGAGAUAUGUCUAAGAAGUACCAAAAUUCAUUAGCGGUCAAGUCUAAGUCGAAGAAUUGACUUAGAUUGAGGAAUCACACCAUUACACGAACCACAUUUGGAAAACAUUGAGCGGGGCCACACUUCAUAGAGCAAAGUACUUCUUGGAAAAAAUGCGGCAUGGAGAAAGGAAAUCCCAACACAAAGUAGUAGAGGGUGAAACUUGAUGGCUCUCCGAGCUCCAUUACUUGGCUCAUGGCUACUACUUUCCUUGGCACGCUUCACACGCAUCCCAACAAAAUUGCAUGCCAAUACGCUUCAAGGAAGUAUCCGAAUGAGUCAUUACAAUUAAUUUUGAAGUGAGCAGCCUUGAAAUAGCCCAUCUUACUCAAUGACUCGCCUUGAUGAGACAAUGACGGUACAUCAUCAUCACCUUUAUAGCUUGAAGAAGACAUGCUCGAAGAAAUUCUACAAAGACAAGGGGAAAAGUCAUUAGCUGGUUGCAACCAAAAAAAAAAAAU
This 605-nucleotide long non-coding RNA is filed under the name Malus domestica (apple). Its description in RNAcentral is "long non-coding RNA (MDOM_LNC015169)". The record is from RNAcentral. Lineage: Eukaryota; Viridiplantae; Streptophyta; Magnoliopsida; Rosales; Rosaceae.